CUAAUACCGCAUAAGCCCACAGGUCGGCAUCGACCAGAGGGAAAAGGAGCAAUCCGCUUUGAGAUGGCCUCGCGUCCGAUUAGCUAGUUGGUGAGGUAAUGGCCCACCAAGGCGACGAUCGGUAGCCGGACUGAGAGGUUGAACGGCCACAUUGGGACUGAGACACGGCCCAGACUCCUACGGGAGGCAGCAGUGGGGAAUAUUGCACAAUGGGGGAAACCCUGAUGCAGCGACGCCGCGUGGAGGAAGAAGGUCUUCGGAUUGUAAACUCCUGUUGUUGAGGAAGAUAAUGACGGCACUCAACAAGGAAGUGACGGCUAACUACGUGCCAGCAGCCGCGGUAAAACGUAGGUCACAAGCGUUGUCCGGAAUUACUGGGUGUAAAGGGAGCGCAGGCGGGAAGACAAGUUGGAAGUGAAAUCUAUGGGCUCAACCCAUAAACUGCUUUCAAAACUGUUUUUCUUGAGUAGUGCAGAGGUAGGCGGAAUUCCCGGUGUAGCGGUGGAAUGCGUAGAUAUCGGGAGGAACACCAGUGGCGAAGGCGGCCUACUGGGCACCAACUGACGCUGAGGCUCGAAAGUGUGGGUAGCAAACAGGAUUAGAUACCCUGGUAGUCCACACCGUAAACGAUGAUUACGAGGUGUUGGAGGAUUGACCCCUUCAGUGCCGC
This 670-nucleotide ribosomal RNA is filed under the name uncultured bacterium. RNAcentral's name for it is "bacterial SSU rRNA". It matches the Rfam family "Bacterial small subunit ribosomal RNA", at positions 163 to 849 of the family's 1533-position model. The record is from RNAcentral.